UACGUAUGGUGCAAGCGUUAUCCGGAUUUACUGGGUGUAAAGGGAGCGCAGGCGGCACGGCAAGCCUGAUGUGAAAGCCCGCGGCCCAACCGCGGGACUGCAUUGGGAACUACCGGGCUGGAGUGCCUGAGAGGUAGGCGGAAUUCCUAGUGUAGCGGUGAAAUGCGUAGAUAUUAGGAGGAACACCAGUGGCGAAAGCGGCUCUCUGGCCUGUAACUGACACUGAGGCUCGAAAGCGUGGGGAGCAAACAGG
Molecule: ribosomal RNA, 253 nt
Filed under: uncultured bacterium
Lineage: Bacteria
Description: partial 16S ribosomal RNA
Rfam family: Bacterial small subunit ribosomal RNA
Source: RNAcentral